UGGGGAAUAUUGGGCAAUGGGCGCAAGCCUGACCCAGCAACGCCGCGUGAAGGAAGAAGGCCCUCGGGUUGUAAACUUCUUUUGUCAGGGACGAAGCAAGUGACGGUACCUGACGAAUAAGCCACGGCUAACUACGUGCCAGCAGCCGCGGUAAUACGUAGGUGGCAAGCGUUAUCCGGAUUUACUGGGUGUAAAGGGCGUGUAGGCGGGGAAGCAAGUCAGAUGUGAAAUUCCAGGGCUCAACCCUGGAACUGCAUUUGAAACUGUUUUUCUUGAGUGAUGGAGAGGCAGGCGGAAUUCCGUGUGUAGCGGUGAAAUGCGUAGAUAUACGGAGGAACACCAGUGGCGAAGGCGGCCUGCUGGACAUUAACUGACGCUGAGGCGCGAAAGCGUGGGGAGC
RNAcentral lists this ribosomal RNA (400 nucleotides) under uncultured bacterium. RNAcentral's name for it is "bacterial SSU rRNA". It matches the Rfam family "Bacterial small subunit ribosomal RNA", at positions 355 to 769 of the family's 1533-position model. The record is from RNAcentral.